CAGUCCGGGCAAGCGGGCGGUGUCCCUGUCCGUGGCGGGAAAGGGUUUGGGCUGGAUGUUCGCUAAGGUCCGGUCCACGCCUUUAACAUCCUGUGGUUCCGCGAUCCCGCCGUGUGGAUCCGCAGCGAUCCGUGUGGUUCCUCAGCCGCCCGACCCCCGUCGUGCUCCUUGGAGCAAGUCCUGCCUCGGCAGUCCGGACAUGUGCUCGUCUGGAGCAGUCGAGUGAUUUCUGCCCUUCUCGGAGGAAUUAGAAAUGGUCCCGGGUUGUUAAUGUGGGAAAUCGGGAUUUUUUGACAUGGCUGGUCAAAGCAAUGGCUGUAAUCUCAGGAACUGCAGGGAUGGUUUCGGGUGCUUUUCUAAACAGCCAAAGCUGUCACUUGAACGAGGAGGGAUUGUCACACUGCUGUGGCUGUGCCUGUGUUCCCCUGGGCGCUGGGGUGGCACAGUUGAGGCUGACACUCCGGGCACAGGAUGCCCAGGAGAGCCGGUGCCGUGGGAGACGAGAUGGACCUAAUUACUGAGUGCCACUUGGAGCUGUCUCUUGGCUCAUCAAGUCUUGAAAGGAAUGACAGCUUGGACAUUCAGAGACACUUGGUUUUGCUGACAGAUCGUUUUCAUCAGCAAAUGCCUGUCAUAAUUCAAAAGAUAAAUUACCUUUUUUUUUCCUUUAGGGAAUUGGGCAAGGGCUGAGGUGACCCAGACUAUGCCCUUGUUUGGGUUAUAGGCACGGAUCCAAACUGGUGGGGUCUGGCAGGGACAGGGCCCCAGGAGUAUCAGCAGCCUCUGGGAUAAUGCUCUCCUGCCUUACAGACUGUGGUGUGUGUGCUGAGCUCAGUUCAGCUGGUGGUAAAACAUCAGUGAGUUCCCCAGAGUGUCCCAUGUGAGCUGGGGUUAAAGGCUGCACCCUGCCAGGGUGCUCCUCUCCCUGGCUUGGCUGGUCAUUAGGAGCACUGUACUUGUCCUGCAAUUAGUCAUUGGAGCUUGUUGUAUGAAAAUGGUCAUGCCUCUGCUUAACCUUGAUCUCAGCUGAUGCUCUGUCCCAGGUAAUUACAAGGAGAGCAUGGGGUUCCUGUUUCUUGGACUGGCUUACUGUUCCCAAAGAAGUGUUAAUGUUUUCUGCUGCUGGCUCAGCAAUGGAGCUGUCUGAAUCAAAUAUAUUCUUUUCAUUGUUUUAGGCAAAAAGUGAAGGUCAAGAUGAGUUUGCUGCUGGCUUUGGGAAUCCUCAGUCUGGACUCUGCCAUGCCUUGCAAGCAGAAAGAUGCCACGUGAAUUCUGGGGCUACAGAAGUUCUGUGACAUCAGAUGAUCACCUCCACUGUCUUCCAGCCUUGUGCCAGCAGGAGAGCCCAUCCACUUGUGGAAGUGUGGGUGUUUAAGGAGCUUGAAAGCAGCAGCCUGGAAGGUGGAGUUCUAAUGCACUUGGAAAUGCUUCCAUUGCCCUUCCUGCUCGUCAGAAAUCCUGCUUGGUUCCACAGUACGGCAGGGAGUAGCUGUUCGCUGAAAAUUAAUAAUCCUGGAAUGAAGUUUGGGGCAGAGUGUCACUCUAGAAAGAGAAGCGGCCUUCUGGGCAGUCUGAAGACUUAGUAUCAAUUUUUGAGUGUAUCAAAUAAAUGGAUCAAAAGUGAAUAAGGCAAAGAUUAAAAUGUGGGAAAACUUGGUGCUGUCUAAAUGAGUGUUUACAGUGUUAGUAGUAGGUAUGAAAUAAAAUCUUGGAUUUCUGUU
Zonotrichia albicollis (white-throated sparrow) is the source of this 1721-nucleotide non-coding RNA. Lineage: Eukaryota; Metazoa; Chordata; Aves; Passeriformes; Passerellidae. The record is from RefSeq and is a predicted model, not a curated record.